AACGAACGCUGGCGGCAUGCCUAACACAUGCAAGUCGAACGAGACCUUCGGGUCUAGUUGCGCACGGGUGCGUACCGCGUGGGAACCUGCCCUUAGGUUCGGUAUACCUCCCCGUAAGGGGUGCUAAUACCGGUUAAUGUAUUCGGACCAAAGAUUUGGCGCUUGUGGAUGGGCUUGGGGCGGAUUAGCUUGUUGGUGGGGUAGAGGCCUACCAAGGCUACGAUGGGUAGCCGGUCUGAGAGGGUGACCGGCCACAUUGGGACUGAGAUACGGCCCAGACUCCUACGGGAGGCAGCAGUGGGGAAUAUUGCACAAUGGGCGGAAGCCUGAUGCAGCAACGCCGCGUGCGGGAUGACGGCCUUCGGGUUGUAAACCGCUUUCGCCUGUGACGAAGCGUGAGUGACGGUAAUGGGUAAAGAAGCACCGGCUAACUACGUG
This 438-nucleotide ribosomal RNA is filed under the name uncultured bacterium. Its description in RNAcentral is "partial 16S ribosomal RNA". It matches the Rfam family "Bacterial small subunit ribosomal RNA", at positions 29 to 507 of the family's 1533-position model. The record is from RNAcentral.